This 795-nucleotide ribosomal RNA is filed under the name uncultured bacterium. RNAcentral describes it as "bacterial SSU rRNA". It matches the Rfam family "Bacterial small subunit ribosomal RNA", at positions 8 to 796 of the family's 1533-position model. The record is from RNAcentral.
AGAGUUUGAUCAUGGCUCAGAUUGAACGCUGGCGGAAUGCUUUACACAUGCAAGUCGAACGGCAGCACGGGAGCUUGCUCCUGGUGGCGAGUGGCGAACGGGUGAGUAAUGCGUCGGAACGUACCGAGUAAUGGGGGAUAACGCAGCGAAAGCUGUGCUAAUACCGCAUACGCCCUGAGGGGGAAAGUGGGGGAUCGCAAGACCUCACGUUAUUCGAGCGGCCGACGUCUGAUUAGCUAGUUGGUGGGGUAAAGGCCUACCAAGGCGACGAUCAGUAGCGGGUCUGAGAGGAUGAUCCGCCACACUGGAACUGAGACACGGUCCAGACUCCUACGGGAGGCAGCAGUGGGGAAUUUUGGACAAUGGGGGCAACCCUGAUCCAGCCAUUCCGCGUGAGUGAAGAAGGCCUUCGGGUUGUAAAGCUCUUUCAGCUGGAACGAAACGGUACGUCCUAAUACGGUGUGCUAAUGACGGUACCAGCAGAAGAAGCACCGGCUAACUACGUGCCAGCAGCCGCGGUAAUACGUAGGGUGCGAGCGUUAAUCGGAAUUACUGGGCGUAAAGCGUGCGCAGGCGGAUUGUUAAGCAAGAUGUGAAAUCCCCGGGCUUAACCUGGGAAUGGCAUUUUGAACUGGCAGUCUAGAGUGUGUCAGAGGGGGGUGGAAUUCCACGUGUAGCAGUGAAAUGCGUAGAGAUGUGGAGGAACACCAAUGGCGAAGGCAGCCCCCUGGGAUAACACUGACGCUCAUGUACGAAAGCGUGGGUAGCAAACAGGAUUAGAUACCCUAGUAGUCC